AUUUUGGGCUUUUGCAAAACCGGGUCAUCUUUUUCGUUUUUGCAGAUUCAGUCCGCUUUUUCAGCAAACUGGGCGGAAACGGUCCGUCUCGCUUCUCGCCCUCGCCUUUGCCCUUGCCCUCGUCCACGCACCCCCCACCUUCUUCGCCUCCAAUCCCGCCAAGACCGCGCCGCGACUUUUUUUUUUUUUUACUUUUUUCUUUUCUUUUCUUCUCCGACUCUUCUCCACCGUCUCCGACGACGACGCCUCUCUCGUCUUUCCCCGCCCUUCUCAUCUCUCCCUCUCCUUCAUUCUCUGCCGCCUCCGACGACGAUGCAUCUUCGCCG
RNAcentral lists this long non-coding RNA (326 nucleotides) under Ananas comosus (pineapple). Its description in RNAcentral is "long non-coding RNA (ACOM_LNC002987)". Lineage: Eukaryota; Viridiplantae; Streptophyta; Magnoliopsida; Poales; Bromeliaceae. The record is from RNAcentral.